GUAUUUAUCCUUACACUGAAGUGACAGCUCCUGGGUGGCACGUGACAUGGCACAGCCAAGAAAACCGUACACAGGAUGUGUUUGCUCCAGCUGAAUGGUUCUCCAGGAAGACGUCUAGCAGAGCCUUUGAAUGCAUGUAUGCAUUUGGAAACCUGUUUUUACCAAAACUAUUUGAAUCUGGAAAUGCCUGAUUCAUAUCCCAACAAACUGAUUUGGAAAUUCUCUCUGUAACACUGUCAAUAAUAGAUGAUUAGUCUACAGCCUGAAGUUUGUGGUACAAAUUCUGAAAGGUAGUUCACUGGGGGAAUUCAGCUUCAAACUAGAAAUAGGUCAUUUGUUAAAGAAUUCACAGGAGUAACAGAUAUUUUUUUCCUCUUCUGGCCUUUCUCUCUUUUUCCUCCAUGAACUUCAUAUUACCAAAGUGCAUUUUUUUCCAGUACCUGAGGUUUGCUAGUAUGUUGAAAUGCAUUCGUCUUGCUGAGACUUGUUCCAUGCUCAAGUUUUAUUGUAAUUGACAGUUCACAGUAGCACUGUCCCUUGAGUUUUGCAUUUUAUUUUCUGUUGAAAUGUUUACUACCUUGUGCUGAUAAUCUCUGCUAGUGGGAACAGAACUAAAAAAGGAGGGGCGGUGUCCUCAUUUCAGAAACACUGCAAGGAGACCAAAGAUCAGAAGGACAGACUCUGGCGUAAGAAUUAUUCAGAACUGGCUUGUGGGCAAAUGCAAAAGCAGCCUGCCUUCAUGUACAGCACUGGCCAUUAAAUGUAGGAAAGUCAUGUCAUCCAUUUGCCUGGGAGAACUCAAAGGAAUUUACAAAGGGAGCCAUGAUUUGUAGUUGAGAUUCAUCAUAGAGAUCAAUAGUAUGUGUGAAUUUUGACUGUUUAAAGCUUAGCACAACAUUUCAGGCUGCAUGACCCCAAAUAAGGAUUUAACAGCUUAACAUUUAUUAGUAUUCAAGUUUAAAACUUUGGGCUUUGUGUGAAGCUAAUUGUGUAGUGCUCUAUUUCAUGCGUGUUGCAUGAUUUUUGUGACAUUUUAACUGAUACAAAAGGGGAAACAUAUCCUCCUUAUGUACAUGGAGAGGUGAAAUCAUUUUCCCUGGGGAAGCAUCCUCAGAGCCUGAUUUAUGAGAGCUGCAAUAAGCUGGGUAUAGUGAAUGCAGUGGUAGUGGGAGGGAACUGAAAGGGCCUGGCUCUUCCCAGAUGCAUACAGUGAGGUUUCCUUCCCUGGUUGCUGCCUCACUGUGUGCUGAAAGAUUUGAGCCUUACAUAUAAAACUGGGCCUUAUGCAAGGGCUUUUACUCCUCAGUGUUCACUGGAAGUCACUGGAGAAGCCCGUAGGUAUUUCUGUAGCUUUUAGCUUUUUUAUUUAAAAUAUUUAGAACCUAAUAACUGAAUUCAAGAGAAGCAGCAACUGAUUAGAGCAUCCUUAUUUCAUAAGGAGCAUUCAACAUCUUUAGAAAGCGAUGCUUUCCUGGAUGGAUUUGGCAUUGUCAGCUUGCUUUCACUGUUAUUUUUUGACUGUUACAUCUACAUUUUUCCUCUAGUUGUCAUUGGUGUCAAAAGAGAAGUAAGACAACUGAUUCAAAGGUCAGAGACAUCAUUUCAGAUUUGAUGAGUCAGUGACAAUAGAGCUCAGAGAAGUAGCCCUUGGCAAGUUUAAAAGUAGUGACAGUUUUGAUGGAGAAAUGGUUACAGGCAGUUGUGAAGGAGGCUUCUUUCUACAUAUAAAGAUGAAUAAUGAGCAAAACUUCUAUUGAUUCAUAUAAAAGAUGUAAUCUGGGACAAGAUUAGUCCUUAGUUUUCAUACCCUGAUUAUGGCUGAUGCUGUUAAUGGGUCACACUCAGCAGCAGGCGGUAGGAAGCAGGUCUAGACGUAGGACUGAAGCCCAGCCCUCACAAAAGAAUAGAGCCUUUCUGCUGGCCUUCCCAAACAGAGCCAAAAGAAGCAGUCCUGCAUAAAGGCACUGGCAAGGAGGAACCAGAGAAUGACACUGAAAUGUAAACCUAUGUUAAUAAGGACAUGGAAUCUAAAUGAUCAGACUACUAUUAAUUGUCUUCUUUCUCAAAAUGGAAGUACAUCUUAAGAUAAAAGUAAUGAGCAGCAUUAAGUCACGCUACAAUGUUUCCUGUGGUGUAGAUCCUCAGCAGGCAAAAUGAUGUGCACUGCUUCACACCCUGACCUCUCCAUUCAUCAUUUAAACACUGAAAAAUCUAGCUGAGGAAUUGCCAUAAAAGUGCAUGUCUUACAGAAGAAAACAUUGACUGUGUUACCCACUUCGAUUUUCAAUAGAAUUUCACCAAAAAUAUCCACAUCCAAUUUUCCUGUUGAUUCAAAUGUAGAGUCUACAACAGAGAGGAAAUCUUUGAUAACAUCAAUAAAAACUUCCCUGCUUUAUGUUUUGAUUCUUGCCUAGAGUAAGAAACUGGUCAUGGAAUAAGUAGGUCACUGAAAUAAUUACUGUACUGAAAAUAAUACAGCCUGACAGUUGUGGGGCUGAGCUACUGUAUGUCCAUUGGGCUGUAGCAAUUUUGGGUCUCUGAAUUAACAUAAAGAUGGAAAUCUUUAGUAUUUAACUUUAGCUGUGUACUUGCCUAAUCUGUAAAAGGUGUUCCCUUGUCAUCUAGAAGAGAUAUAUUUUCUUUUUUUUUAAGCCUGCCAACUAUAGUAAAAAUAAUAAUAAUUAUUAUAAAUGUUCUAACAAGUAUUACUGUUUUGUUUUAGCAGGCUCUGCAUUUUUUCUGAUAUUGUUUGCUCGUGUUGUCCAGUUAGAUAGCACUUAAUUGCUCUAAUUUUUGCACAAACUUUAAUAACAUUUCAAUUCUUUUAGUAACAUUUUAAUUCACUUACCUAGCAGAUGUUUAUGUCAAGUAGAAAAGAGAAAAGGGGGAAGGACCAAAGGGCAACUGAAGGUCAGAUUGGAAAGUCUUUAUGUUGCAUUAAUUCCCAACUGUUGCUUUAUAUAAUAUAUAAGAUGUACAGCUGGGAGAAAGAUUUGACUGUGAAAUAUA
Oxyura jamaicensis (ruddy duck) is the source of this 3009-nucleotide long non-coding RNA. RefSeq lists it as uncharacterized. Lineage: Eukaryota; Metazoa; Chordata; Aves; Anseriformes; Anatidae. The transcript is spliced from 3 exons. The record is from RefSeq and is a predicted model, not a curated record.